Molecule: ribosomal RNA, 225 nt
Filed under: Parachartergus lenkoi
Lineage: Eukaryota; Metazoa; Arthropoda; Insecta; Hymenoptera; Vespidae
Description: partial small subunit ribosomal RNA
Source: RNAcentral
UUAAAUCAUUAAAUUAAAAAGAUUUGGCGGUAUUUUAAAUAAUUAGAGGAACCUGUGUAAUAAUUGAUAAUCCACGAUAAGAUAGACUUAAUUAUUUAUGUAUUGCUGUUUUAAAAUUAUUAUUAAUUAAAUAUUUGUUUUUUUAUUUUAAAAUAAUUCAAGUCAAAAUAUAGUUUUAUUGAGUUAUGGGUUACAAUAAAAUUUUGAAAUUGGAUUUAAUAGUAA